CAAGGGCAACUCCCUCAAGGAGAGGAUCAGGCGCGGUCAGGACGAUCUGGUGACCACUACCUCAUCUGUGGGGACCUCAGCAAUGCCCUCAAGUGUUCUUCCCCACCGGGACCACUGCAAGAGCGUCAAGCACGUCAUCAGCAGGUGCCUCAACGUCAUCAUGGCCAGCCUCUACUUGCAGAAUUGGUCUCACGUGCUGAGCUACAUCAGCAAGGCUGAGUCCACUG
Long non-coding RNA from Myotis brandtii (Brandt's bat), 227 nucleotides. RefSeq lists it as uncharacterized. The record is from RefSeq and is a predicted model, not a curated record. The transcript is spliced from 3 exons. NCBI's taxonomy places the organism in Eukaryota, Metazoa, Chordata, Mammalia, Chiroptera, Vespertilionidae.